GGGCCUGUAGCUCAGUUGGUUAGAGCGCGCCCCUGAUAAGGGCGAGGUGGUUGGUUCGAUUCCAACCAGGCCCACAA
This 77-nucleotide transfer RNA is filed under the name Armatimonadetes bacterium CG07_land_8_20_14_0_80_40_9. RNAcentral describes it as "tRNA-Ile". It matches the Rfam family "tRNA". Rfam says of the family: Transfer RNA (tRNA) molecules are approximately 80 nucleotides in length. The record is from RNAcentral. Lineage: Bacteria; Bacillati; Armatimonadota.